Molecule: non-coding RNA, 76 nt
Filed under: unclassified sequences
Source: RNAcentral
UACCGUGCCGAGUGUGGUAGCAGUAAUGCCCACAAAAGUUUGCUUUUGAACUUUGAACAGCUCGUAGCACGGUUUU